Molecule: long non-coding RNA, 415 nt
Organism: Quercus lobata
Lineage: Eukaryota; Viridiplantae; Streptophyta; Magnoliopsida; Fagales; Fagaceae
Exons: 2
Source: RefSeq, a predicted model, not a curated record
GUUCUCUUCUCACCUUCAGUCUCAGCCUCCAUUCCAGUCCCUCUCAGCUCUCACAGCCUCCACUCCACGCCGGCUUCCACGAAAAUCUGCCUCUGUGCCGCCUCCGCACGCCGGCUUCCAAGCAAAUCUGCCUCUGCGCCGCCUCGAUCUGCCGAUCUGCCGCCGCCUUCACACGCUGGCCUCCACAUGAAUCUGCCUUUGCCGCGACCUCGAUCUACCUCUGCCACCGCCUCCACACGAAUCGGCCUCUGUCGCCACCUCCACACGCCGGCCUCCCCACGCCGGCUUGGUCUUUUCAUUCUCAGUUUCUCACGUGGCGGUGGUUGCUAGCUUGGACUAGAGUUGGAGCCAGAGCCGGAGCUGGAGCUUGGAAUGGAGCAGAAGACCGCGAACUCACAAUGAUGGUGACAUAACA